GACGAAUGCUGGCGGCGUGCUUAACACAUGCAAGUCGAACGGAAAGGCCCGGCUUUCCUUGGGGGCUCGAGUUGCGAACGUGUGAGUAACGCGUGUAUAACCUGCCCGUGACUUUGGCAUAACUUCAAGAAACUGGGGCUAAUAGCUGAUAGUAGCUCCAGCUCCAUGGUGUGGGUUGUAAAGUUUCGGCGGUUGGGGUUGGACUGGGGGCUUAUCAGCUGGGUUUGUGGGUAGUGGCUUGGCAAGGCUUUGACGGGUAGGCGGCCUGGGAAGGGGGACGGCGACAUGGGGCCUGAGAUGCGGCGCAGCAGCAUACGGGAGGCAGCAGUGGGGAAUAUUACACAGUGGCCGGAAGCCUGAUGCAGCAACGCCGGGUGUGGGAUGACGGCCUUCGGGUUGUAAACCGCUUGCGACUGUGACGAAGCGUGAGUGACGGUAAUGGGAAAAGAAGCACCGGCUAACUACGUG
RNAcentral lists this ribosomal RNA (468 nucleotides) under uncultured bacterium. RNAcentral describes it as "partial 16S ribosomal RNA". It matches the Rfam family "Bacterial small subunit ribosomal RNA", at positions 28 to 507 of the family's 1533-position model. The record is from RNAcentral.